AUGUCCCUACGGGGCGCAGCAGUGAGGAAUAUUGGUCAAUGGGCGCGAGCCUGAACCAGCCAAGUCGCGUGAGGGAUGACGGCCCUACGGGUUGUAAACCUCUUUUGUCGGGGAGCAAAUUCCGCCACGUGUGGCGGAGUCGAGAGUACCCGAAGAAAAAGCAUCGGCUAACUCCGUGCCAGCAGCCGCGGUAAUACGGAGGAUGCGAGCGUUAUCCGGAUUUAUUGGGUUUAAAGGGUGCGUAGGCGGUCCGGAAAGUCAGCGGUAAAAGCCCGGGGCUCAACCCCGGCGAGCCGUUGAAACUG
This 305-nucleotide ribosomal RNA is filed under the name uncultured bacterium. RNAcentral's name for it is "bacterial SSU rRNA". It matches the Rfam family "Bacterial small subunit ribosomal RNA", at positions 333 to 635 of the family's 1533-position model. The record is from RNAcentral.